GGCGGCGGCAGCGCGGAGUGGCGGAGCCGGGCGGCCUCGCCCUGCCCUGCGCUGCCCCGGGCGCGGCACUGCCCGCCCGGCCCUAGGUGUUUGUUUGAAUACAUAGAAGAAGAUGAUGACAGGCGUGCCUGGACAAUUUUACGUAAUUAACACCUGCUAGAUGUGCAAAAGGCAAUUAUUGCUGUGAAGUGUUUACAUUGAUUUAUGGGAGGAAGGUGGCCCAAGAGAGGGAUGCUGAUAAUAUCAACCCAGUGGAUUAAAUGCACAUUUACACCUUUAUUGACAUAUAAAUUAUCCAUGCCAGGAAUGCACUGAAAUGGCUGCUGAUGGGGCAGUAACGUGGCACAAAGUACUGGGUUUGGAUUCAGCUCUGUCAUCCUUCUGUAAGGCACAGCAACAGGAUUCUGCAUCUGGGCUCAAAUAGGGAAUAGAGGCUUACAGACUGGCUGCCUGUUAGGAUAAUGAGCUGUGAUGGCAAGUGGGAACUUGGAAGGAUGAUAAAAACCGUGGCUGAGGUCUGAAGGAGUUUUCUUGCUUUUUUUUUUUUUUUUUUUAAAUGACUUUGAGGUUUUUGUUGUUGUUCAUACUAUGGAUUUUUAGAGAAAGCUGAAAGAGGCCAGAGGAGUGUUUGUAGCUGGGAAAUGGAACCUGGCUCUGAAUCUAACCAGCAUCAGAAGAGAAAGCCGGUGACACAUGGACUGGAAGAUCAAAAAAGGAGCCUGCUGCAGCUUCUGAUGGGAACCAGACCUGGGUUUGGGAGCCUGAGUUUGAUGGGGAGAGGCUCCUGGGACAUUCCUAUAGCAGUAAAAUUUGGUGAGAGAGCAAGCCUUAUUUUCUCCUUAACAGCAAACUCAUUCAUCUGUUAGAAAGAAGCAAACUGACUUGCACGUGAGUCUGUCCUUGAAGCAUUAGGCAAAAACAGCGUGGUACUGAGAACUGUGAUUUCUCUUUGUGCUAACUGGAUGUGAUGCAUGGAUGUCUCUUGAGGCUAUCACAUAUUGAUGGUAAUAAAUAUGUACUCAGA
Phasianus colchicus (ring-necked pheasant) is the source of this 1024-nucleotide non-coding RNA. NCBI's taxonomy places the organism in Eukaryota, Metazoa, Chordata, Aves, Galliformes, Phasianidae. The record is from RefSeq and is a predicted model, not a curated record.